Molecule: ribosomal RNA, 282 nt
Filed under: uncultured bacterium
Lineage: Bacteria
Description: partial 16S ribosomal RNA
Rfam family: Bacterial small subunit ribosomal RNA
Source: RNAcentral
AGGGGCAGCAUGAUUUGUAGCAAUACAGAUUGAUGGCGACCGGCGCACGGGUGCGUAACGCGUAUCCAACUUGCCCUUGUCCCGGGGAUAGCCUCGCGAAAGCGAGAAUAAUACCCGGUGUAGCCACGGUUCCGCAUGGAACUGUGGCGAUAGGUCCGCCGGACAAGGAUAGGGAUGCGUCCCAUUAGGCAGUAGGCGGGGUAACGGCCCACCAAAGCGACGAUGGAUAGGGGUUCUGAGAGGAAGGUCCCCACAUUGGAACUGAGACACGGUCCAAACUCC